GCUGCUUAAACACAGCACCAUUCCUUUGACCAUCUGUGCUUAUGCGGGUGGAGUUUUUAGUACCUUUUAGGUAUGAGAGGCGCUCAGAGGUCAUCUACAUAAGAUCGCGCUGAAGUCUGUCCGGUAUGGAUGCGCUAAAACCUUACGGAAUCGCUGGUGAUUUUCUUGGCCCGACGGGUAGUCACUAGCUAAAUUAAAGAGCGGGAUAAGCAUGUAGACCUUGUGGCGGAGUACUUGCGGACGGGGGUUCAAUUCCCCCCGCCUCCACCA
RNAcentral lists this transfer-messenger RNA (270 nucleotides) under Candidatus Methylobacter titanis. Its description in RNAcentral is "partial transfer-messenger RNA". It matches the Rfam family "transfer-messenger RNA", at positions 120 to 374 of the family's 374-position model. Rfam says of the family: Bacterial tmRNA, also known as 10Sa RNA or SsrA, is named for its dual tRNA and mRNA-like properties. Lineage: Bacteria; Pseudomonadati; Pseudomonadota; Gammaproteobacteria; Methylococcales; Methylococcaceae. The record is from RNAcentral.